GUGCUCAAUUCAACAGCAUAUAUACCACCCUGGAAUCAUGCAGAGGAGAGUAGCAAAGUCCCCGCAUGAGGGUGGCACACAAGUCCCUGAAGCUCUCCACAUUUUU
This is a small nuclear RNA of Oryctolagus cuniculus (rabbit), 106 nucleotides long. The record is from Ensembl. Lineage: Eukaryota; Metazoa; Chordata; Mammalia; Lagomorpha; Leporidae.